CACGUAGGCGGUGAAUCGGGUUGAAAGUGAAAGUCGCCAAAAAAGUGGUGGAAUGCUCUCGAAACCAAUUCACUUGAGUGAGACAGAGGAGAGUGGAAUUUCGUGUGUAGGGUGAAAUCCGAAGAUCUACGAAGGAAGGCCAAAAGCGAAGGCAGCUCUCUGGGUCCCUACCGACGCUGGAGUGCGAAAGCAUGGGGAGCGAACG
RNAcentral lists this ribosomal RNA (205 nucleotides) under uncultured bacterium. Its description in RNAcentral is "partial 16S ribosomal RNA". It matches the Rfam family "Bacterial small subunit ribosomal RNA", at positions 568 to 774 of the family's 1533-position model. The record is from RNAcentral.